Molecule: ribosomal RNA, 502 nt
Filed under: uncultured bacterium
Lineage: Bacteria
Description: partial 16S ribosomal RNA
Rfam family: Bacterial small subunit ribosomal RNA
Source: RNAcentral
AUUGAACGCUGGCGGAAUGCUUUACACAUGCAAGUCGAACGGCAGCACGGGAGCUUGCUCCUGGUGGCGAGUGGCGAACGGGUGAGUAAUGCAUCGGAACGCACCUAUUAGUGGGGGAUAACUAUCCGAAAGGAUAGCUAAUACCGCAUACGUCCUGAGGGAGAAAGCGGGGGAUCGCAAGACCUCGCGCUAAUAGAGCGGCCGAUGUUGGAUUAGCUAGUUGGUGGGGUAAAGGCCUACCAAGGCGACGAUCCACAGCUGGUCUGAGAGGAUGAUCAGCCACACUGGGACUGAGACACGGCCCAGACUCCUACGGGAGGCAGCAGUGGGGAAUUUUGGACAAUGGGGGCAACCCUGAUCCAGCCAUUCCGCGUGAGUGAAGAAGGCCUUCGGGUUGUAAAGCUCUUUCGGCAGGAACGAAACGGUGGUUACUAAUACUAGCUACUAAUGACGGUACCUGAAGAAGAAGCACCGGCUAACUACGUGCCAGCCGCCGCAGUAA